GACGAACGCUGGCGGCGUGCCUAAUACAUGCAAGUAGAACGCUGAAGAGAGGAGCUUGCUCUUCUUGGAUGAGUUGCGAACGGGUGAGUAACGCGUAGGUAACCUGCCUUGUAGCGGGGGAUAACUAUUGGAAACGAUAGCUAAUACCGCAUAACAAUGGAUGACACAUGUCAUUUAUUUGAAAGGGGCAAUUGCUCCACUACAAGACGGACCUGCGUUGUAUUAGCUAGUAGGUGAGGUAACGGCUCACCUAGGCGACGAUACAUAGCCGACCUGAGAGGGUGAUCGGCCACACUGGGACUGAGACACGGCCCAGACUCCUACGGGAGGCAGCAGUAGGGAAUCUUCGGCAAUGGGGGCAACCCUGACCGAGCAACGCCGCGUGAGUGAAGAAGGUUUUCGGAUCGUAAAGCUCUGUUGUAAGUCAAGAACGAGUGCGAGAGUGGAAAGUUCACACUGUGACGGUAGCUUACCAGAAAGGGACGGCUAACUACGUGCCAGCAGCCGCGGUAAUACGUAGGUCCCGAGCGUUGUCCGGAUUUAUUGGGCGUAAAGCGAGCGCAGGCGGUUUGAUAAGUCUGAAGUUAAAGGCUGUGGCUCAACCAUAGUUCGCUUUGGAAACUGUCAAACUUGAGUGCAGAAGGGGAGAGUGGAAUUCCAUGUGUAGCGGUGAAAUGCGUAGAUAUAUGGAGGAACACCGGUGGCGAAAGCGGCUCUCUGGUCUGUAACUGACGCUGAGGCUCGAAAGCGUGGGGAGCGAACAGG
Molecule: ribosomal RNA, 765 nt
Filed under: uncultured Streptococcus sp.
Lineage: Bacteria; Bacillati; Bacillota; Bacilli; Lactobacillales; Streptococcaceae
Description: bacterial SSU rRNA
Rfam family: Bacterial small subunit ribosomal RNA
Source: RNAcentral